Molecule: transfer RNA, 72 nt
Filed under: Saccoglossus kowalevskii
Lineage: Eukaryota; Metazoa; Hemichordata; Enteropneusta; Harrimaniidae
Description: tRNA-Asp
Rfam family: tRNA
About the family: Transfer RNA (tRNA) molecules are approximately 80 nucleotides in length. Their secondary structure includes four short double-helical elements and three loops (D, anti-codon, and T loops). Further hydrogen bonds mediate the characteristic L-shaped molecular structure. tRNAs have two regions of fundamental functional importance: the anti-codon, which is responsible for specific mRNA codon recognition, and the 3' end, to which the tRNAs corresponding amino acid is attached (by aminoacyl-tRNA synthetases). tRNAs cope with the degeneracy of the genetic code in two manners: having more than one tRNA (with a specific anti-codon) for a particular amino acid; and 'wobble' base-pairing, i.e. permitting non-standard base-pairing at the 3rd anti-codon position.
Source: RNAcentral
UCUUCGAUAGUAUAGUGGUGAGUAUCUCCGCCUGUCACGCGGAAGACCGGGGUUCAAUUCCCCGUCAGGGAG